Molecule: ribosomal RNA, 462 nt
Filed under: uncultured bacterium
Lineage: Bacteria
Description: SSU rRNA
Rfam family: Bacterial small subunit ribosomal RNA
Source: RNAcentral
AGAACGAACGCUGGCGGCAGGCCUAAUACAUGCAAGUCGAACGCACUCUUCGGAGUGAGUGGCAGACGGGUGAGUAACGCGUGGGAACCUUCCCAAUGGUACGGAAUAACUCCGGGAAACCGGUGCUAAUACCGUAUAAGCCCCUCGGGGGAAAGAUUUAUCGCCAUUGGAUGGGCCCGCGUCGGAUUAGCUAGUUGGUAAGGUAAUGGCUUACCAAGGCUACGAUCCGUAGCUGGUCUGAGAGGAUGUCCAGCCACACUGGAACUGAGACACGGUCCAGACUCCUACGGGAGGCAGCAGUGGGGAAUCUUGCACAAUGGGCGAAAGCCUGAUGCAGCGACGCCGCGUGGGGGAUGAAGCAUUUCGGUGUGUAAACCCCUUUCGACCGGGAAGAAUGCCUCGCAAGAGGAGUGACGGUACCGGUAUAACGAAGCCCCGGACUAACUACGUGCCAGCAGCCGC